This 433-nucleotide ribosomal RNA is filed under the name uncultured bacterium. Its description in RNAcentral is "partial 16S ribosomal RNA". It matches the Rfam family "Bacterial small subunit ribosomal RNA", at positions 29 to 507 of the family's 1533-position model. The record is from RNAcentral.
AACGAACGCUGGCGGCAGGCCUAACACAUGCAAGUCGAGCGGACCCUUCGGGGUUAGCGGCGGACGGGUGAGUAACGCGUGGGAAUAUGCCCUUCUCUACGGAAUAGUCCUGGGAAACUGGGGGUAAUACCGUAUACGCCCUUUGGGGGAAAGAUUUAUCGGGGAAGGAUUAGCCCGCGUUGGAUUAGGUAGUUGGUGGGGUAAUGGCCUACCAAGCCGACGAUCCAUAGCUGGUUUGAGAGGAUGAUCAGCCACACUGGGACUGAGACACGGCCCAGACUCCUACGGGAAGCAGCAGUGGGGAAUCUUAGACAAGGGGGGCAACCCUGAUCUAGCCAUGCCGCGUGAGUGAUGAAGGCCUUAGGGUUGUAAAGCUCUUUCAGCUGGGAAGAUAAUGACGGUACCAGCAGAAGAAGCCCCGGCUAACUCCGUG